UGGGUGGAGUCACGUGCGCUCUGGGCCCGGAGGCGCACAAUGGGCAGAGGGAGUGUAAGCAAGGGGGUGGGUAGUGUUUCUCAGCUGGCGGCUCCCGGAGCUGGGGCAGAGAAGGCGGGAGGCCAGGCUUCCUUGAGCGCUUAUUGGGUGCCGGCAGUACUGGGCCUGCGCCUGGCGUCCUCUUUCUUCGAGGGUCAACCCAACGACAGAGGGGAAACUGAGGCGCACAGCGGGGACUCGAGGCCAGGAAGACUGAGAGUUUUGGACCAUCCUGAGCUACGUAAUAAGACUUUAUCUAAAGGAAAAGAGGAGGAGAGAACAGAAGGAAGGAGGGAAGGGAAGGAGAGGAGAGGAGAGGAGAGGAGAGGAGAGGAGAGGAGAGGAGAGGAGAAGAGAAGAGAAGAGAAGAGAAGAGAAGAGAAGAGAAGAGAAGAGAAGAGAAGAGAAGAGAAGAGAAGAGAAGAGAAGAGGACGUCCUCAUCCUUGGAUAACUGUCAGUCACAGUGGAGAUGAAUCCCUGCAUGUGGUGGACUGCUGUCCUCCAGCAUAACAGACAUUGCCAUCUUUAUCAGCGCAGUUGCUACUAUCCUCAAGAGAUCUUCAAGAAGAGACCUGUGACCUUUUACAGAUGGAAGGGAUGGGAAGAGUCAUUACAUUCUCAUCUGAGGUCCCAGCCACUCUGUCCUGCACCUCUGCCCCAGCUAUUCCUGACCCUCUGGAGGAUCUAGAGGGUCUCAGCCUAUGGGUGGUGACUCCUUUGGGGUGGGGUCCAAUAACCCUUUCCAGAGGUCACCUAAGACCAUCUUGCAUAUCAGAUUAUGCAUCACAACAGUAGCAAAACUUACCGUUAUGAAGUAGCAAGGAAAAUAAUUUUAUGGUUGUGGGUCACCACAGUAUGAGGAGCUGUACUACAGGGCUGCCCGUUGGAAAGGCUGAGAACCACUGCUCUGGCGUGUUCAGAAGAUGGAAGAUUGUCUGAAAGGAGAUCAGCUGAACAGCUACAGGAAAGUCAGUACCCAUGCUGGCCUGAGACUUUUCUGUGAUGAGGGACGGAGAUCACGGGCGCUCCUGUAAGGAACCCCUCAGCCAUGCUUCCGUCAGAAAGCCAAAUAAGCUCACUGGUUUACCAAGCUAGACUUGAAUGGAAUUGCUUUUCCGUCUAUUCUGUACCUCAUUUGAGGCAAGUAGACAUUUGCUCACAGUCCCUCCUCCCCACAUCCCAAGAGCAAAUGCAGCCUCAGUCAUGUGUUCACAGCCACCAUGUAUCUAUCAGGCUGGGGCUGCUUUGAGAUCAGGCAAGAGCUGUUCCCCAGACCCAUCUCAAGGCUUUGAUCUCAGCUCAGAAUGUCCUGUUCUCUGGACCCAAGCCUCGGGGCUUCCAAGGGACAGGGGCUAGUGAAACAAGAUGGGGCUAAAGCCAGUGGACCACUGAAGAUGCUCUGACAAAAGAUUGGAGCCACGUAAGAGCCCAACAUUAACAUUUGGCCACUGUGAGACUUAGGACUUACACAUACCGUUUCCAAGCUGGAAUUUCCUCGUCUAUAAGAUGUAAAUCCAUAAGAUGUAGAUGCCCUAGCUUGCUAAGAGCUUUAGAUAUACUGUAUUCAUGAACCUGGAACAGCUGUGUUAGGCUUGGUCACAGGAGUUUUACACCCAGUGGUUUUUGUUUUUUGUUUUUGUUUUUUUUUUUUUUGAGACAUAGUCUUAUGUAGCCAAGGCUGGCCUUGAGCUUGUAAUCUUCCUGCCUCUAUGUACAGAGUGGUUUGAUUUUAGGCAUGUGCCAACAUUUCUGACUUACGCUCUUACAUCUUCCAAGAUGGCUCAUUCCUUGGGGCCUCAGAUCUUUGCUGUGAGCAGCUUUCUUAGGGCUGCUUCGGUGGCUUUGGCUUGACUGCAGUGGGCAGCUUCCCUAUGGGUAAUUCCCCACAGAACUCAGGGAUGCCUUUUAUGACCUCACAUCAUCUCCUCCUCAGUCUCUUCCUUAGCAGUGAGACACCAAGCCAACUCUGUCUCCAUACGCACUCAGCAUGGUUUUUAACCCACAGAACAGCCCCCGCCCUGACAGAGUCUCUUUGUUUAUCCCUGUCUAGCUUGGAACUCCCUAUAUAGAUAGACCAGGCUGGCCUCACACUGAGAGAGCUCCUGCCUCUUCUUCCUGUGUUUUAGGAUUAAACAGAUAAGUAGUACAUAUGACAGGUAUUAGUAGGGCAUGGGAGCUUCUGAAAUAUUCUUAAAAAUUAUGUUAGAGAAUUGAGAAACAAAUUCAAAAUGUACGCCUGAUUUGGACAUUAAUUAUGUAUGUGUGUGUAUAUAUGUGUGCAGACACAUGUAUGUAUGUAUGUAUGUAUGCAUACAUAUUUUCUUAUUUAGGGCUACUGUUUGUUUGUUUGUUUUUGUUUUUCCGUUCAGCAUUUCUAUGUGUAGCCCUGGCUGUCCUGGAAUUCCCUCUGUAGACCAGGCUAGCCUCGAACUCAGAAAUCCGCCUGCCUCUGCUUCCCAAAUGCUAGGAUUAAAAGUACCUGGCCACCACCACCUGGCUAGGAUUACUAUUCCUGUGAUGAUACACCAUAACCAAAAGCAAGUUGAGAAAGAAAGGGCUUACUUGGUUUACCUUUAAGUCAUUACAGUGGGGGGUGUUUCAUUUGACUUCAUUUUAGAUCUUUCUGUUUCAAAGAAGAUACUUACUUGUGAUGAAUAUAAUCAAACUUAUAUUUAAAUCAAAGAGAAUAUAGCAUUCCUGUCCUGCAAUCAUUCUCCAUUUUUAAAUGACAAGAAGUGUGUGUGUGUGUGUGUGUGUGUGUGUGUUUUAAGGAGAGGAAUGGACCUGUAAGAGAGUGCAGUGAAUAAAUGACUUUGCAUGCAAUCUUGCCAAUCUGAAUUUGAUCCCAAAUCCCAAGGUGGAAGGAAAGAACUCCUCUGACCUUGACUAAUGCCAUGGCACAUGUGUGCCUACAUACACACAUAUCGUAUACAUAUGUGCACAUAUUAAUAAUAAAUUAAAAAUAAAAUGAAAGGAGCUGGAGAAAUGGCUCAGCAGUUAAGAGCUCUUCCAAAGGUCCUGAGUUCAGUUCCCAGAAACCACAUGGUGGCUCACAACCAGCUGUAAUAGGAUCUGAUGCCCUCUACUGGUGUGUCUGAAGCAGCUACAAUGUAUUCAUAUAAAUAAAAUAAAUGAAUCUUUAAAAUAAAAUAAAAUGAAAGAACAGAUGAAACUUAUUUUAAUAAUGUAUUUUCUGUAACCUAUCCAUAGUCAGUACACGGAAACAACAAAAAUACAUUAUUAAAUUAUUAUUAAACAACAAUAAAAAUUAUUUGUGUAUGUAUAGUGUGUGUGUGUGUGUGUGCACACAUGUGAAGACCAUAAGUUGAGACCCAGUGUCUUUCCAUCCCUUUCCACCAUCCUUUUAGAGACAGAACCUCUCUUCGAAGCUGGGGUCUUGCACACCUCAGCUUUAAACCUCCAGCCCAUAAGGGUGGAGAAAAUAACUUUCUAUUGAUUGAGCCAACCAGUCUUUGGUAUUGUUUUGGCAGCUUGAGAAAACAAAUAUAGUAUGAGAAAGAAUGUAAACUCUCAUUCAGAAUAUCAGGGCGGAGUUCAGUGGUAGAGUGGGCAUUUAGCAUGGAUAAAGCACUGGGGUCUGGUCCCACCAUCAAAGACAAUAAUUGAGGAGGCCAGGAGAUGGUUCUGCCAGCCCAAGCAGGAGAGUUGGAGUUUGAAAGCCAGUAUGCUUGUGUGAGCUGGGCACGGGCCUGCCCAUGCUGGGCGAGAGGGGCCCAAGUUGAGACAGGCCUUAGUACUGAGUCAUCAAGAAGGUCCAUUUUUCUCUUUAAAACAUACAUAUUUUUAAACUUUAUUUUUUGCCUCUGGGGAGGCAAGCAGGUGCCAUUUCCUGGAUAUGGAGGGCAGAGGACAACUUUCGGGAGUUGGUUCUCUUUCUACCAUAUGGGUCCCUGGGGUAGAAGUCCCUUUACUGUGUUGGCAGCAGAUGGCCUCCUAAAGCUCCCUGGUCUUCUUGAUGACCCCAGAUCUUGUAUUUUACAAAUAUUUUAAUUGUAUUUGUGUAGGUAGGUAUGUGCAUGCUUGUGUCUGUGUCUGUGUGUGUAUCUGUGUGUCUGCAUGUACCACAUGUGUGCAAGUGCCCAAUGAGACCAGAAAAGGGCAUCAGAUUCCCUGACAUUGAAGUGACAGGUGGUUGUAGCUGCCAACAUGGAUACUGGGAACCAGACUCGGGUGUUUUUGAAGAUUGGAAAUUGCUCUAAACCACUUAGCCAUCUCUUCAGUCACUGGAUUUUGGAUUUUAAUAGAUAGUUUGAAACAGAUAAAGAUACACUACAUUGAGCUAGAAUAACAGAAGCUGGUGUUUGGCACCCAUAUUCUACCCUCACCAUGGCUCUGUGCUCUCCCCCAAAAGCAACUGAGGCAUGUAGAUGGUGUCUAUGAACAAGUGAAAACUACUAACUGAAGAGAAAUGGCAAGCUUUGGAUUUUUGUACUAACAAACGGUUGGGUCUGAGAGAUCUCCUUGUCAUAAAAAAGACUGAUGUAGAGUAUUAUAAUGUAUAAUAUUAAUAUGUGCUGGAAUAUAUUAACAUAAUGUGUUUAAUAUAUCAAGUAUAUAUGCUAGAGCUAAUGAUAUUUCAUGUUAUAAAUUUGUAGUGUAUAUAAGAAAAUAUGUGAAAUCAUAAAAUAACAGGAAAUUAAAUAAUUAAGGAAAAUUACUGGGAAAACAGCCAAACUAGGAAGAGCAAAAAAACUUUCUCAGACCCUGAAGGGUGGGGCAGCAGGUUCCAGCAGUGGCUCUAGACAAGGGUGGGGACAGGGUCCUGGGGUUUGGAGUCUGGCAGAUCUGAUCUCAGGCAGAAAGAAGCUUCCAGAAGUGAAGUGGUGUGUGGACUGAAGGUCGAGCUUUCCUGUUGGCCUAGGCGCUUAUGAGGCAAGAGGUGGUAAUUCCAGUGAUGCUUCACUGCAGCCAGACCCUCCUUCCUGUGUGCAGUGGCCCAGUCCUCUACCACUGCUGGGUGCCUGGCUGCUUGUUUGCCAGGUGAUGGACAACCAGGUGUCUGUACAGUAGCCAAUGGGGUCGCAAAGCUGCCUGCUUCUCUGGCUAGGUGAGAUCACCAGACAGUGUAUAAUGUGCUAAAACAGGCCCUGCUGCUGCUGCCGCCGCUGCUGCUGCUGCUGCUGCUGUUGCCCUCUGCACCCUUAGAGGCCCUGAAAAUCUCAAGGAGCUGCCCUGUACUUGAGGCUACCUGUCCAGGUGGGUCCUACUACUGAUCCAGCCCAGUGUUUCUGAGCCCUAGUCUUCCCAUGUGUAGUGUGGGCUUGGGAUGCUGGCAGACUGGGUAGUUGCUCAGAGCCUCACCUGGGUGGUGCCUGUAACAGGAAUGGAAGGGUGUGGAGGGUGAGAGCAUAGUCAGGGAAGUAUGUGUCACUCAUGAGAAUCCAGAUGUGGCAGAGACAGGAGGAUCCCUGGGGCUCGUGGGCUAGCUAAUGUUGACAACUGUAGUGAGUGACAGAUAUCCCAUGUUGACUUCAUGCCUAUACGUGCAUGUGCACAUGACCAUACAGCACACAGGAAAAUAAAACCAGGCUGAAGCUUGGGUGGAGUGAUGCUCCUGAUGCUCAUCUUAGAGUUGCUGAUGCUGCCCUGAGCUUCUGCUGAGCCUGUCUUCACUGCCGCUCUAGUUCUGGAAGGAAAAGAGGGAGCAGUUGGAAGAGGUUUGGCCCUAGGUCUCCAGUUCGUCCUCAAACUCUUGAAGCCACGGAAUUCAGCGUCAGCAGCGCCAUCUGCCCCCAUGUCCCCUGCCCCAUCCCUCUACUACAGCCAUGCCUCCUCUAACAUGUCUUGUCCACCCUCCCAACCUUUCUGUGAGCUGUUUCUAGGCCUCAGAUGCUGUUCUUAGCUCCACUAACUCCUCCCUUCCAUUCAAGUCUCUGCUCUGGAAACAUGCCCACACCCUGCCCUUCCCCACACUUUAUGUGCCCAGCCAGGCCUUACCAGGCUCUGGAACAGACCCCUGAGGAACAGGAGCCCAUGCGUUCAGUAAAUGUUUAUCAUAGGCAAACAAAUGCACACGGGCCAGCAGACAGGACAGGAGAAUGAAAGAGAAAACAGGACCCGAUAAGCCUCCGUCUCAGAAGGCAGAGAGGCUGUCUACCUGCCUCUAUGGUGUCCAGAGUUGGUGCUAAAUAGUAACUGGUUGGUAUUUAAAAAUCUGGCCUGAAAACACUCAUGAAGGGCAGGUGUGGGGUGAAAGCCAGACCCUCCCAUGAUGUGACUGGACUGUUGGGCCUUUGGAAAGUUCUUUGAGAAGGUACUGAGGCAGCCAGGGCUCCAAGCAGUGGGUAGGUGAAUGAGCAUAGCCAGAGUCUAGGUAGGAUAGGACACGAACCCUAACCAUUUGUAAGCCCUGGCUCUGGCUCAGCCAUCUCUGCUCUGCAGCUUCACCUCCCGACUCCUGCCAUCAAAGAGCUCACCCAUCCUUUGUCUUUAAGCAGGAACCAGGUUACCUGGAAGCAACUUAGCCCAGGAGCACAGGACAGCAGAGUGUGGAUGCAAGAAUCCAUUGCAGCAGACAUCAAGCUCCGGCCUGGACAGUGACCUUCCCUGCCUUGCAGUGCCUGAGGGACCCUAAUAAGCCUAGCCCAGACACAGCCUGGUCCCAAUUAAAUCUCCACCCAGCCAUCUAGGAGGCGUAUGCCAGGGCAUGGAGACAGACUCCAGGCACCAUGGCUGCCAUUCCAAAGGGGAGGGACAUGAGUAAAUGAGCCACAUGCUGUCAUCCCCUGAGAAGAAUGAAGAGACCGAAGUGGCAGGGCCUGGAGACUGCAUUUGAAAGAUCAGGGAGGCACGUACAACUCGGGCCUAACAAAUGCCAAGGAAUCUUCAAACAUUCCAAGUAAAGAAACCAACAGGGCAAGGGAUUGGAGGUGAUGUAGCCAGAGAAGGGAGUAACAGCAGCAGCCCCACAGAUGGCAGGCCCUAGAGAACAUGGCCUGAGAGCUGUCUAGGGUUGCCAGCCCAGGAACUCUAUCUUUCCCUCCACUCCCAGAGUCUCUUCUCCCUAGAGCUGAGAAGCCCCUGACCAUGCUGCCUGGCUUCACCCUUGCACUUCCACUUUCCUUUCCCCUCGGCACGGGCUCAGGUGCUCUCUGAGCCGGAGUUGCCCUAUGGUGGCAGUCCUGAGGGCUUGCGUCCCAUAAGGUUCCUGAGCUUCCUGCCUACUGUGUGCUGGCCAUGUCUUGGGGGUGAUGUAGGUCACAGACCCUCAGAGCCCACCUAUUGUAGCUAGGCUCUCCUAGUGUGCUGUACACACAAGGGUAUCAGGCCAGAGAUUAGGACAUGGUGCGGGCACAGCUCAGUUGUGACCUUGCUCUGCCUCACGAGGUUGGGAAGAGUGUUGGGGAGCUUGUUAGUCCUUUCCUAUCUGUCCCAGGGCAGCUCCCAGUAGCUGAGCCUGACACCUGAGAGCUGUCCUCAUGUCCUUUGCUGUCUUUUGUUCCAAGGGCCGUCCCUAAGUGUCCUUCUUGGACCUGGUAGCAGCCUUCAUCCCAGCUAUAUAUACACAUCCAGUGUCCCUCCCCCUGGAGGAGGAAGGAGGACAUUAAACUACAGGUUAGUGUUGAUCUGAGGAGGCCGUAGUGAGGCUUGUGGGUGCCACUGUCUAAAGAUACACUUCACGUGACUGCAGUAAAUGCAGUGUCUAGAAGCUGGGCCAGCUGGUGCCUUAUAGUGCCGGUGAUACCUCAGGGCUGCCUGUCACUCCACCCUAGUGGAGCAGUGGGAAGGCAGCAGUCUCCAGGGUAGAUAUUUUUGUCAUGGGGAAGCCAUAAGCAGGUCCAGAAUAGUCCCCUGGGACCUCUCUAACCGUGUCUGAAAUGUGGAUAAUGGUGCCAAACUUCGUUCUAGGCACAGUCAGCAACUCUAUGGAUGUGCUAAAAAAAAAUCCACCACGCUGUAUCCUUCAAAUGGUGAAUGGUAAGGGAUGUGAACCAUAAAUAAGCCCAUUAAGCACCCUCAGUAAACUGAGGCUGCCGGCCGUAAUUCCAGCACUUGGGGUGAGACAGCCUGGGGUACUGCUCCCCUUUCCUGUCUGUUGCUGUGAUGAACCCUGGAUACAAAGCAACUGAGGGAGAAAGAAAGGAACUUAAGCUCACACUGGAAGGCCACAGCCUGUCACUGAGGAAGUCUGGGCAGGGACGUGAGAAACCACUGAGAAAUGCUUCUCUCCAGACUCGACAGCCUGACUAGAGAUGGCCCCGCCCACAUCAAUCAGCAUUCAGACAAUCCCUCACAGACAGGUCUGCAGGUCAGUCUGGUUCAGAGAGGCAGUUCCUCCCCGAAGAUUCUAGGCUAUGUUAAAUUGAUUAUUGCUAACUCUCACAGCUGCAUAUUAAGACUUUUACCACAAAGAACAACACACACACACACACACACACACACACACACACGUGGUAGUACUCAGGAGGCAAAGGCCGAAGACUUACCCAAAGUUCAAGUCUUGGUCUACAUAGUGAUAACCCGUUCCCCACCAGCACCCCAAAAAGGUGGUUGGCAAUUCAUAUACUCCAGGGCCUUAUAGCAAAACAACCAAAACAAUACAGGAACACCCCAGAUAUCCUACACCCUUCCCCCAAAGUGCUAGAGUCCAGAUCUGCUCAGAUAAAUAGAAAGUUAAAACAAACCAUACAACAUUGCCACUUCAGAAAUAAUGACCUCAGUAGCAGUAGCCGGAGUAGCCGUUCCCUAGAGCCUGGAACACGCUGAGUCUUGUUCGGUCCGUCAGCCUUCCCCACCCCCUCGACACUGUGACCUCACUUGAUAGGUGAGGAAUCUGACGCACAGUGGGCACUUGUGAGGUCAAGGUUUGACCCGGCAGUCAGCACUAAAGCGUCCUCUGCCCCUCAGACACACAGAAGUCAACAGAAUGAAGAAGUGCUUAGUGGGCAAGGGGAAGAGACUAUCGUGGUUUGGGGUUUGUGUCUCUCUGUGUGUGUGGUUGUUGUUGUUGUUGUUGUUUUGUUUUGUUUUUGAGACAGGGUUUCUCUGUGUAGCCCUGUUAUCCUGGAACUCACUCUGUAGACCAGGCUGGCCUCACACUCAGAGAUCUGCCUGCCUCUGCCUCCCAUUUUGCUAAAAUCAAAGGUGUGUGCCACCACCACUUGACUGCAAUUAUAGUUUUAUUGUUUUAUUUUUUCAAGAUAGGGCUCACUAUGUAACCCAGGCUGGCCUGGAACUCACAGAGAUCUUUUUGCCUCUACUUCCUGACUGUUGGUAUUAAAAGACCUGUGCCACUGUG
Long non-coding RNA from Mus musculus (house mouse), 9299 nucleotides. RefSeq annotates it as predicted gene 9861. The transcript is spliced from 2 exons. NCBI's taxonomy places the organism in Eukaryota, Metazoa, Chordata, Mammalia, Rodentia, Muridae. The record is from RefSeq and is a predicted model, not a curated record.